AUAAGCGGAGGAAAAGAAACCAACAGGGAUUGCCUCAGUAACGGCGAGUGAAGCGGCAACAGCUCAAAUUUGAAAUCUGGCCUCUUGGGGUCCGAGUUGUAAUUUGGAGAGGAUGUUUCGGGUACGGUCCGGGCUUAAAUUUCUUGGAACAGAAUGUCACAGAGGGUGAGAAUCCCGUCUGGAGUCUGCGACACGGCCUAUGUGAAACUCCUUCGACGAGUCGAGUUGUUUGGGAAUGCAGCUCUAAAUGGGUGGUAAAUUUCAUCUAAAGCUAAAUAUUGGCCAGAGACCGAUAGCGCACAAGUAGAGUGAUCGAAAGAUGAAAAGCACUUUGAAAAGAGAGUUAAACAGUACGUGAAAUUGUUGAAAGGGAAGCGCUGGCAACCAGACUUGCGCGUCGGGGUUCCCCCUUGCUUCUGCCUGGGCUACUCCCCGGCGUUCAGGCCAACAUCGGUUUUGGGGGUCGGUUAAAGGCCCCGGGAAUGUACCUACUCUUCGGGGUAGACUUAUAGCCCGGGGUGUCAUGCGGCCACCCGGGACCGAGGAACGCGCUUCGGCUCGGAUGUUGGCGUAAUGGUUGUCAGCGACCCGUCUUGAAACACGGACCAAGGAGUCUAACAUCUAUGCGAGUGUUAGGGUGUCAAACCCUUACGCGGAAUGAAAGUGAACGGAGGUAGGAAGCCGUAACACGCUGCACUAUCGACCGAUCCUGAAGUUUACGGAUGGAUUUGAGUAAGAGCAUAGCUGUUGGGACCCGAAAGAUGGUGAACUAUGCCUGAAUAGGGUGAAGCCAGAGGAAACUCUGGUGGAGGCUCGCAGCGGUUCUGACGUGCAAAUCGAUCGUCAAAUUUGGGUAUAGGGGCGAAAGACUAAUCGAACCA
Molecule: ribosomal RNA, 881 nt
Filed under: Cyphellophora livistonae
Lineage: Eukaryota; Fungi; Ascomycota; Eurotiomycetes; Chaetothyriales; Cyphellophoraceae
Description: eukaryotic LSU rRNA
Rfam family: Eukaryotic large subunit ribosomal RNA
Source: RNAcentral